This 231-nucleotide long non-coding RNA is filed under the name Capsicum annuum. Its description in RNAcentral is "long non-coding RNA (CANN_LNC009659)". Lineage: Eukaryota; Viridiplantae; Streptophyta; Magnoliopsida; Solanales; Solanaceae. The record is from RNAcentral.
CUCCAAUUUCAUAUUAAUCCUAUUAUCAGCGUGUUUUGAUUCUUUAGGCUUGUCAACUUCUUCUGAAUCUUCCUUGAUUGAUUUGCUCAAUCCAAUCAAUUUCUCAACUUUAUUGAAACGACAAGAUUCAACUACAUUCUCGAGCUCACCUAGUUUUUCAAUUAGUUUAGGAAUCACAUAUUUAGACCUCGGAUCAAUGUUUUCUGAAUCCCUCCAAAGCCAAAAAUCGCA